RNAcentral lists this transfer RNA (85 nucleotides) under Spumella sp. NIES-1846. RNAcentral's name for it is "tRNA-Tyr". It matches the Rfam family "tRNA". From Rfam's summary of the family: Transfer RNA (tRNA) molecules are approximately 80 nucleotides in length. Their secondary structure includes four short double-helical elements and three loops (D, anti-codon, and T loops). Lineage: Eukaryota; Chrysophyceae; Chromulinales; Chromulinaceae. The record is from RNAcentral.
GGAUUGAUAUUCAAGUGGUUAAAGAAAAUGGAUUGUAAAUCCAAUGGAAAAAAUUCCUUCAUAGGUUCAAAUCCUAUUCAAUCUA